ACCUGCGGAGGGAUCAUUACAGAGUUCAUGCCCUCACGGGUAGAUCUCCCACCCUUGUGUAUCUCUUGUUUUUGUUGCUUUGGCAGGCCGUUAGCUCGCUAACCACCGGCUCUCGGGCUGGUGCGCGCCUGCCGGAGGACCUCCCAAACUCUGUUUGUUAGUGUCGUCUGAGUACUAUAACAAUUUGUUAAAACUUUCAACAACGGAUCUCUUGGUUCUGGCAUCGAUGAAGAACGCAGCGAAAUGCGAUAAGUAAUGUGAAUUGCAGAAUUCAGUGAAUCAUCGAAUCUUUGAACGCACAUUGCGCCCUUUGGUAUUCCGAGGGGCAUGCCUGUUCGAGCGUCAUUUCAACCUCUCAAGCUCAGCUUGGUGUUGGGCCGCGCCGGUGCACUGCGCUGGCGGGCCUUAAAAUCAGUGGCGGUGCCGUCCGGGCUCUAAGCGUAGUAACAACUCUCGCUCUGGAGACCUGGCGGUGUCUUGCCAGACAAUUCUUACAUUUCUCAAGAGUUUGACCUCGGAUCAGGUAGGGAUACCCGCUGAACUU
RNAcentral lists this ribosomal RNA (544 nucleotides) under Arthrographis sp. INBio3010G. Its description in RNAcentral is "eukaryotic LSU rRNA". The stretch from base 192 to 345 matches the Rfam family "5.8S ribosomal RNA". Lineage: Eukaryota; Fungi; Ascomycota; Dothideomycetes; Eremomycetales; Eremomycetaceae. The record is from RNAcentral.